Molecule: ribosomal RNA, 374 nt
Filed under: uncultured bacterium
Lineage: Bacteria
Description: bacterial SSU rRNA
Rfam family: Bacterial small subunit ribosomal RNA
Source: RNAcentral
GACGAACCGUGCGAACGUUGUUCGGAUUCACUGGGCUUAAAGGGCGCGUAGGCGGAUGGCCAAGUCAAGGGUGAAAGCCCCCGGCCCAACCGGGGAAGUGCCUCUGAUACUGGUCAUCUCGAGCGGGAUAGGGGCAGCUGGAACUUCCGGUGGAGCGGUGAAAUGCGUAGAUAUCGGAAGGAACGCCGGUGGCGAAAGCGAGCUGCUGGAUCCCUCCUGACGCUGAGGCGCGAAAGCCAGGGGAGCGAACGGGAUUAGAUACCCCGGUAGUCCUGGCCCUAAACGAUGGGCACCAGGCCGUGGACUGACAUGGGUUCACAGCCGAGGCAAAAGUGUUAAGUGCCCCGCCUGGGGAGUAUGGUCGCAAGGCUGAA